GUGACAGCCGCCGCGGUAAUACGUAGGGUGCGAGCGUUAAUCGGAAUUACUGGGCGUAAAGCGUGCGCAGGCAGUCUUGAAAGUCAGAUGUGAAAUCCCCGGGCUCAACCUGGGAACUGCGUUUGAAACUCCAAGACUAGAGUAUGGCAGAGGGGGGUAGAAUUCCACGUGUAGCAGUGAAAUGCGUAGAGAUGUGGAGGAAUACCAAUGGCGAAGGCAGCCCCCUGGGUCAAUACUGACGCUCAUGCACGAAAGCGUGGGGAGCAAACAGGAUUAGAUACCCUUGUAGUCC
RNAcentral lists this ribosomal RNA (292 nucleotides) under uncultured bacterium. Its description in RNAcentral is "partial 16S ribosomal RNA". It matches the Rfam family "Bacterial small subunit ribosomal RNA", at positions 505 to 796 of the family's 1533-position model. The record is from RNAcentral.